UCCCAGGUGGCUCAAUGGUAAAGAAUCUACCUGUCAAGCAGGAGACCCGGGUACAAUCCCUGGGUUGGGAA
This 71-nucleotide transfer RNA is filed under the name Bos taurus (domestic cattle). It matches the Rfam family "tRNA". From Rfam's summary of the family: Transfer RNA (tRNA) molecules are approximately 80 nucleotides in length. Their secondary structure includes four short double-helical elements and three loops (D, anti-codon, and T loops). RNAcentral also lists the same sequence under 2 other names. The record is from Rfam by way of RNAcentral. Lineage: Eukaryota; Metazoa; Chordata; Mammalia; Artiodactyla; Bovidae.